Molecule: ribosomal RNA, 254 nt
Filed under: uncultured bacterium
Lineage: Bacteria
Description: partial 16S ribosomal RNA
Rfam family: Bacterial small subunit ribosomal RNA
Source: RNAcentral
UACGGAGGGUGCAAGCGUUAUCCGGAUUCACUGGGUUUAAAGGGUGCGUAGGUGGGCAGGUAAGUCCGUGGUGAAAUCUCUGAGCUUAACUUAGAAACUGCCGUGGAUACUAUUUGUCUUGAAUGUUGUGGAGGUGAGCGGAAUAUGUCAUGUAGCGGUGAAAUGCUUAGAUAUGACAUAGAACACCAAUUGCGAAGGCAGCUCACUACACAAUUAUUGACGCUGAGGCACGAAAGCGUGGGGAUCAAACAGGG